RNAcentral lists this ribosomal RNA (521 nucleotides) under uncultured bacterium. RNAcentral's name for it is "bacterial SSU rRNA". It matches the Rfam family "Bacterial small subunit ribosomal RNA", at positions 791 to 1311 of the family's 1533-position model. The record is from RNAcentral.
UAGUCCACGCUGUAAACGAUGAUCACUCGCUGUUGGCAAUACAUCGUCAGCGGCUGAGCGAAAGCAUUAAGUGAUCCACCUGGGGAGUACGUUGGCAACGAUGAAACUCAAAGGAAUUGACGGGGGCCCGCACAAGCGGAGGAACAUGUGGUUUAAUUCGAUGAUACGCGAGGAACCUUACCUGGGCUUAAAUGUAGAAUGACGGAUUGGGAAACUAAUCUUUCUUCGGACGUUUUACAAGGUGCUGCAUGGUUGUCGUCAGCUCGUGCCGUGAGGUGUCGGGUUAAGUCCCAUAACGAGCGCAACCCCUAUCGUUAGUUGCCAGCGAGUAAUGUCGGGGACUCUAACGAAACUGCCGGUGUAAACCGAGAGGAAGGUGGGGAUGACGUCAAAUCAGCACGGGCCCUUACGUCCAGGGGCUACACACGUGUUACAAUGGGCCAGUACAAAGGGGCAGCUACCUGGUGACAGGGAUGCUAAUCCCUAAAGCUGGGUCUCAGUUCGGGAUCGAAGUCUGCAAC